Molecule: ribosomal RNA, 512 nt
Filed under: uncultured bacterium
Lineage: Bacteria
Description: bacterial SSU rRNA
Rfam family: Bacterial small subunit ribosomal RNA
Source: RNAcentral
GACGAACGCUGGCGGCGUGCCUAACACAUGCAAGUCGAACGAAGUAAGUUGCUUCACCAAGUGUUGAAUAGCUACCCCCAAGCGCAUUUGCCAAAGGGUAAGCAAAAAGUACUAUCAAUUAAAUAAAAUGGUGAAACAAAAGAAUAGCGAAGAAGAAGCAAAUGCGCUUCACGCUAAUUCCAAGUACCAACACAAAACAAAUUCAAUGUUUGGUGAAGCAACUUGCUUAGUGGCGGACGGGUGAGUAACGCGUGAACAAUCUGCCCCGUACAAAGGGAUAGCCUCGGGAAACCGGGAUUAAAACCAUAUAACACUUAACUGCCGCAUGGUAGUGAAGUCAAAUCGAGUAAGAGGUAUGGGAUGAGUUCGCGUCUGAUUAGCUAGUUGGUGAGGUAAGGGCUCACCAAGGCGACGAUCAGUAGCCGGCCUGAGAGGGUGAACGGCCACACUGGAACUGAGACACGGUCCAGACUCCUACGGGAGGCAGCAGUGGGAAUAUUGCACAAUGGGCG